CCUACGGGGGACAGCAGUGAGGAAUAUUGGUCAAUGGGCUAAGGCCUGAACCAGCCAAGUCGCGUGAGGGAAGACGGGCCUAUGGAUUGUAAACCUCUUUUGUCGGGGAGAAACGAGGCCACGUGUGGCCGCAGGGAGAGUACCCGAACAAAAAGCAUCGGCUAACUCUGUGCCAGCAGCCGCGGUAAUCCGGAGGGUCCGAGCGUUAUCCGGAUUUAUUGGGUUUAAAGGGAGCGUAGAUGGGUUGUUAAGUCAGUUGUGAAAGUUUGCGGCUCAACCGUAAAAUUGCAAUUGAUACUGGCAGCCUUGAGUACAGUUGAGGUAGGCGGAAUUCGUGGUGUAGCGGUGAAAUGCUUAGAUAUCACGAAGAACUCCGAUUGCGAAGGCAGCUUACUAAACUGCAACUGACAUUGAUGCUCGAAAGUGUGGGUAUCAAACAGGAUUAGAUACCCCUGUAGUC
This 460-nucleotide ribosomal RNA is filed under the name uncultured bacterium. Its description in RNAcentral is "partial 16S ribosomal RNA". It matches the Rfam family "Bacterial small subunit ribosomal RNA", at positions 338 to 795 of the family's 1533-position model. The record is from RNAcentral.